This 4005-nucleotide long non-coding RNA is filed under the name Gossypium barbadense (sea-island cotton). Its description in RNAcentral is "long non-coding RNA (GBAR_LNC020827)". Lineage: Eukaryota; Viridiplantae; Streptophyta; Magnoliopsida; Malvales; Malvaceae. The record is from RNAcentral.
CUGCGCACCGUUCCAUCUCCUCGCACGCCAUCGUCACGCCUCUGACACCUGCAGGGAGAAGUGAAUGCAAACAACAGAGGAUUACAAAGAACUAAAGAGCAAAAAAACAAAAAGAUGAAGAUAAAACGGGUGUAAUAUGGCUAUAAAAGCCAAAGGAUUCUCAUUGUAACUUUUUUUUUACGAACACAUAAAUAUUGAGAUCAAAAAAAAUCGAGAUUAAAGAAAAGGUUGAUUUGAACUUCUCUCUCUUCGUUUUUCUUUAUUUUUGUAUGUUUGUUUAUUUAUUGUUGCAAAUCGAUUUUAAAAAUACAUCAAAGAAUGUGAAAAGAAAAAGGUUACCCGAAUCAGCCCUUAGGCCUGCCGUCGAUGGUCCUUCGUCGUCGCCGGAUGUGGGUUUAGGGAGGGGUCAAGGUUUUUUUCGUUCCCUGUUCCAUGGCCUUGGAACUUUGGCAGAGAAGGGGAACCUCCCCUUUUGUUUUGUAGGUUCUUUGCAGAAAAUGAAACAGCAAAAAAAGAAGUAAAAUUUUUAACUUUUAUGGAUUAUAAAACGGCGCCGUUUGGAAGCUUGGAGGGCUGCGCAGUAUUGCCCUAAUGGGUAUUUUACACAAUUAGCCCCUCCAAUUCUGUGGACAUUCGGUGCACUCUUUUAUUUUACUCAAUUUCGGCCACAGAAUUUCGCAUCCUUUCCGAUCUAGUCCUACGCAAAGCGAUGCGUAUGUGGGACAGGGAAUAUUGCACAAUCGGUCCCCCAUGUCUUUAGCGCAUUUUAUUCUUGCCCCCCAGCCCCCGGUUUCAUGUAUUUGUAGUUUAAGACCUUUUUCUUAAUUUCAUUUCAACCAUAUCCUCAAUAUAUUUAAUUUAUUUAUUUUUUAAGAUAUGCUCUUUUGGGCAAUUUACCAAAAAAAGCCAUUUUUUUUUCAAAAUUUACCGAAAUGGGCCGAUUUUUUGAUUAUUUACCGGAAUGGGCCAUUUUCCGCGAAAUCGCGUACACGUCAGCGCGAUGUUAGGGUACGUGUCAGGACAUUGCGUCCACGUCAGCGCAAUUUGCUUACGUGGACACAAAUCGCGCCUACGAGGACGCGAUUUGCUGACGUGGAUGAACAGUUUAUGUUUUUAAGCUUGGAAAACUUUAAAAGGCCAUAACUUUUUGCUCGGUUGUCCGAUUCAGACGAUUUUUUUUUGAUUUCGAAUAACUUUUCGAGAUCUACGCACUGACAAACGCCGAAGGCGGUUUGCCGCAGUUUUCGUCAAAAAAGAUCCUUUUUUGCCCCUAAAUUUUGAUUUUUUCGGUUUAAAAUUGAAUUUUGAAACAUUCAAAUCAUUAUUUUCCUUAUUUAUUUGAAGUAAACACCGGAUCUUUUUUUAUAGAAUUGUCUUAUAUCAUCCUGUUAUAGGUAUAAGUCAGCUCAUUCCACUUUUGAGAAGUUCCCUAAAAUUUUUAUUUUAUUCAAUUUAGUCCCUAAAACCUAAAUAGUCAUAUUUUCAAAUCUAAGCUUCGUUUUUCAAUUCAAAUUCAAUUUCAUCCUUCCAUAACAUUCAAAUAUUCUUAAAUACAAAAAUUUCAUGCUAAUUUUGAAAUAAUUACACUUUAGUCCCUAUACUCGUAACUAACAAAUUAUACUUUACAAAUUAGUCACUAUUCAUCUCUAAGCAGUUUGUCAGCGCGUAGAUCUUGAAAAGUUAUUCGAAAUUAAAAAAAAUCGUCUCAAUCGGACAACCGAGCCAAAAGUUAUGGCCUUUUAAAGUUUUUCAAGCUAAAAAACAUAAACUGUUCAUGCCACGUCAGCAAAUCGCGUCCUCUAAGGCGCGAUUUCCGUCCACGUCAGCAAGUCGCGCUGAUGUGGACGCAAUUUCCUAGCGCGUACCCUGACAUCGCGCUGACGUGGACGCGAUUUCGCGGAAAAUAGACCAUUCCGGUAAAUAAUUAAAUAGUUGGCCCAUUUCGGUAAAUUUUGAAAAAAAAGGGCUUUUAUUGGUAAAAUACCCUGCUCUUUUAUCAUUAUAUGUUUUAAGCUUUUUUUAUUUAUUUGAAAUUGUUUUACAUUAAAACCUUUCAUAUAUUCUUUUGAAAACUGUUUCUUUUAUUAUUUAGUAUUUUCUUUUACACAUUAUUUUAUUUUAAAUUUGCUUUGGAUAAAUUAGUUUUUGUAACAACCCUAUACCUAGUCUAAUCGUACUGACCCAAUAUAAGGCUAUUACAUUUGGUGCCAAACGAUUAUAGCUAGAUAUUGUUUAAUUAAACCAUUUAUACAUAGCAUUUUAACUUACCAACCAUAUUUGCAAACAUACAUAUAGUUUUACUAAUUCAUUUUAUAUAUAUACCAAAAUACGUAAAGUACUUAAAAAUAGAUAGAAGUCCAAGAGUUUACAUUUUAGUUCCUAACACAUGGAAGCAUAACUGAUUGUCUAUGUACAUGCCAUUUUAAUUCAAAAUAUGGUACCUACUUUUGAAGCUCUUGAGGAUGUGAUGAGAUGAGAGAUCUUCUAUCCUGACUUUACCUCUUCGAGACAAACUGUACCUACGCGUUAAAAUUAAACGCGUUAGGCCGGUGAAGGCUUAGUAAGCACUACAAAAAAUAAACAGAUAAAUAAAUAUAAACAAAAUAUGUCAAACUCUUUCUGUUAUUUCGUAUUUACGUACGUAUAAGCUUCAUAAAACUUACCUUAGCAUAUUAAUGAUUCGCUUUUAUCCACAAAUCAUAAUCUUAGCCCAAAGUAGAUUUAUAUAGAACACACCGGAUAUACGGAACAAAUACAGAGGUGCAUUAUUAUGCACUAAUGAACAGAGAGCACUAAAGUGCUAUACAGAGAGCACAGAUGUGCUAAACAGAGAGCACUGACGUGCUAAAAUCAGAGAGCACCAACGUGCUAGUAGUCAGAGAGCACCAACGUGCUAAUAAUCAGAGAGCGCGCUAAAGUUCCUUAAUGGCAUGCCACUAAUAUCCUGGUAGUUCUAAAUUCCAUCUACUUGGGCAUUAAAACUGAAUCUCAUUCAAUUAAAUACUUUAUAGAAUUAUUUCGAAAAAGAUUUCUCAUUUCUCCAUCAUUACAAUUUAGUGCACAUUUCACAAUUCACAAUUAUCACACCAUUUUCACAUAUAUAUACUUUUGUCACAAUAUUUACUUAAUGUUCAAUCAAUGUACCACUAUAUACUUUCCAUAUAUAAUUUUCUUUACAAAUUUCAUAGUUCCAUAAUCUUUUAUUUUACUUUAUUUUAUUUUAUUUCUAAAUAAUUCUAUACUAUAAUAUAGGCAUUUAAAUAAAAUAAAUUAAAAAAAAUAACCUUGUAGUACUUGCAACAAAAAGGUUGAGAUGAUAUCUUCCUUCACUCCUUAGCCUUCUCUUUCCCUUUUUCUUCAAUUAGGUCCUUUCCUUUCUUUUCUUUCUCUUCAAUUUCAUAUAAAACACAUAACAUUUAUAUAGUAGAAAAACAAUCAAAUAACUUUCCUAUAUGAUUUAAUAAGAAUAAACAUAUAUGAUAUAAAAAUUUCAUAAUUUCUUACCUUAGCUAAUAUUUCAAUUUAAUUCAUAACUAAAAUUAUUUCUAUUUCUAUCACAAUCUAUACCUUAUUUUUACUUAAAUUCUACUUACAACUUGACUUAACUCUCAAAUUUUCACUAAUAAACCUUAAUUUCGAAUUUCUUACAAUUUUAAAUUAAACUUAUAACUUAUUUCUCAAUUUAAUCUUUUUCCCAAUUCUAGUUUGAAUUUCCAUCAAUUCAAUCUCUAAUUCAUCCACUAUUUCAAUAUAAACUACAUAAAAAAAUUCUACUAACUUUCAAAAUUUCAACAUAUACCUACUAAUAUUUUAAUCUAGAAUCAUAAAAACUCAAAAAUUUCAAGAAAAAGACUUAAUUUGACUUACCAAUUUGAAAUUGAACCUUAAAACCCUAAUUUUCUUCUUUACUUUUUCUUUCUUUCCUUCUCCCCUAUUUCUCCCCUGUUCCGUUUCGAAUUCUAUUCUGUUUCUUUCUUUUCAUUUCUUUUUCUUUUGUUUUAUAUA